This is a long non-coding RNA of Dermacentor silvarum, 456 nucleotides long. RefSeq lists it as uncharacterized. The transcript is spliced from 4 exons. The record is from RefSeq and is a predicted model, not a curated record. NCBI's taxonomy places the organism in Eukaryota, Metazoa, Arthropoda, Arachnida, Ixodida, Ixodidae.
UAUAUCGGGGGUGGUCUUGUUCGCUUCUUUGCCACUUUCAGCUUUCGCUUUGCGUUUGCGCGCCGAAAGUCAACUGAGUUGGGAGUGUGUGCCGGUUGUGGAUCGAAUGGACGUGGAAAGUGAAGCUUCUCGGCUGCAUGAAGCUGGGGCUGCUGGGGAUCCCGCCUGCUGCUGAUCUAAGGGGCCUCAGCCCACCAUUGCCGAUCCUCCCUGGGUACCUGUGAGGAUGGCGUCGAGACCUCUGCCCCCAACGCCCCCCCAAGAAGCAUUAUUUGAAAGCGCGCGGGACGCGGCGAAGCAAGAACGGAGUCCGUGGCUACGAAGCAAGCUGCUAUCAAGUGUCGACGAUUAAUGGACACCGCGUCGCACGCAAGCCCGUGUCGAGAGCCGACGUGAGAAUCGGAGCGCGAAGGCAGGCACCGUCGCCCACGUCUUGGAUGGACACUUUUCAAAACC